RNAcentral lists this unclassified non-coding RNA (250 nucleotides) under plant metagenome. RNAcentral's name for it is "partial contains small subunit ribosomal RNA, internal transcribed spacer 1, and 5.8S ribosomal RNA". The record is from RNAcentral.
GUAGGUGAACCUGCGGAAGGAUCAUUAACACAAUACUUUCAAUAUCAACCUCGGAGCACUGUCUGACCCUAAGGGAGCUGGUGCUAGGAAGGCAAUGGUUAGAGGAGGUCUCGCUUUCCAAGCGCGCCCGCCUCGGCUCUCCUAGAUGCUCACCCUUCCCUCCCACUCUUGCCGUGUUUGUUCUUCGGACCGGACGCCUUGAGUCAGUGGAAAGCAGUUUGCGGUAACCCCGCCUGUGGAAGAGGUGAUG